GGUAAAAAGCUCGUAGUUGGAUUUCUGUCGAGGAUGGCCGGUCCGCACUUUGUGCGUGCAUCUGGUUCAGCCUUGGCAUCCUCCUGGGGAACGUAUCUGCGCUUAAUUGCGUGGUGCGGUAUCCAGGACUUUUACUUUGAGGAAAUUAGAGUGUUCACGGCAGGCAAACGCCUUGAAUACAUUAGCAUGGAAUAAUAAUAUAGGACCUUGGUCCCAUUUUGUUGGUUUCUGGAACUGAGGUAAUGAUUAAUAGGGAUAAUUGGGGGCAUUCGUAUUAACGUGUCAGAGGUGGAAUUCUUGGAUUACGUUACGACGAACUACUGCGAAAGCAUUUGCCAAGGAUGUUUUCAUUGAUCAAGAACGAAAGUUCGGGGAUCGAAGAUGAUUAGAUACCAUCGUAGUCCGAACCAUAAACUAUGCCAACUAGAGAUGGGCGAUCGUUAUUUUAUUGACUUCGUCCGCACCUUAUGAGAAAUCAAAGUCUUUGGGUUCCGGGGGGAGUAUGGUCGCAAGGCUGAAACUUAAAGGAAUUGACGGAAGGGCACCACCAGGAGUGGAGCCUGCGGCUUAAUUUGACUCAACACGGGAAAACUCACCAGGUCCAGACAUAGUAAGGAUUGACAGAUUGAUAGCUC
RNAcentral lists this ribosomal RNA (635 nucleotides) under uncultured marine eukaryote. RNAcentral's name for it is "SSU rRNA". It matches the Rfam family "Eukaryotic small subunit ribosomal RNA", at positions 618 to 1257 of the family's 1831-position model. The record is from RNAcentral.